GUUGUUGCUGGAAGAUAAUUUGAUAUGCUAAUGGAGAACAUCUUCAAGCCAUCUAACUUUGAGAAACAUUUUCAUUCUUGAAGUUCGCGAGCAAAGGUUCUGACUUAUUAGACUUCAAACUGACUGGAAAACAACUAUACGAACAUAACUUAUCUUAUUUUUUGUCAGCAUAUUCAUUUCUCAAUCAAUAUAAAUAUAAAUAUUCUACAAAAAUUUAUGCCAAUACAUUGUUUCAGAAAUGAAUAUGCGAGGAGAAGGUCAAUUUAAGCUUUAUCAGAAUCUACUUCCAGAAGGGUAAGCGCCUAUUGAUACAACUAGAGCCAAGUAAUCAAGAUGCUUCUUUGUUUUUAAGAUGUAAUGCUGAGAACGAGUAACUGUACCACCAGGCUGAGGAGUAGGAUGAGUCAGCUUGUGAUUGUUUCUUGUAUCUAUAUAAAUGUGGUCUAAACUCUAAUUGAAGGUUGUUGCUUGUAUCUAUAUAAUUCUGGUCUCAACUCUAAUGAAAGGCGAUGUGGUGUAUCUCUUAGACCGAGAAAAACGUACGUCUUUCUUUUCC
This 556-nucleotide long non-coding RNA is filed under the name Nicotiana tabacum (common tobacco). RNAcentral's name for it is "long non-coding RNA (NTAB_LNC012889)". Lineage: Eukaryota; Viridiplantae; Streptophyta; Magnoliopsida; Solanales; Solanaceae. The record is from RNAcentral.